RNAcentral lists this ribosomal RNA (456 nucleotides) under Triticum aestivum (bread wheat). Its description in RNAcentral is "partial small subunit ribosomal RNA". The record is from RNAcentral. Lineage: Eukaryota; Viridiplantae; Streptophyta; Magnoliopsida; Poales; Poaceae.
UUGGCCCUCUCAAAAGCCAAUAACCCCAAGCUUGUCUUCCUGUGUGAAACUAGGCAAGCGACUGUGAAAGUAGAGAAGCUGUGAUGGAGACUCGGUCUGAAAGGUUUUCAUGGAGUGAGUAGUGAUGGGAGGAGUGGGGGCUUAGCAGUGUUCUGGGAUGAGUCCCUCUCUGUCACGGUGAUUGAUUCUUGCAAUCGUUUUAUUGAUGUCAGUGUGGUCGAUGGAGGGUCGGGCACGUCUUGGCGGGGCACCUUUGUCUAUGGAGAGCCGCGGGUGGAAAAUCGUCAUCGCAUGUGGGAGCACCUAUGCAGACUUCGAGCUCACUCGCAUGAGCCGUGGAUGGUGUGUGGCGACUUCAAUGAGGCUUUGUGGCAACAUGAGCAUCUGUCAAGGACCGAGUGCUUGGAGGCUCAGAUGACUGCCUUCAGAGACUGCCUAGAGAUGUGCGAGCUCUAG